GGAAGUAAAAGUCGUAACAAGGUUUCCGUAGGUGAACCUGCGGAAGGAUCAUUAGUGAAUGCCCUCACGGGCUUAACUAUCCAACCAACCUCUGUGAACCGUCGCCCUUGGGCGCUUUUAUAACAAACUAUAACUGUCAUGAACGUCGUAUACAAAAACAAAACACAACUUUCAACAACGGAUCUCUUGGCUCUCGCAUCGAUGAAGAACGCAGCGAAAUGCGAUAAGUAAUGUGAAUUGCAGAAUUCAGUGAAUCAUCGAAUCUUUGAACGCACCUUGCGCCCUCUGGUAUUCCGGAGGGCAUGCCUGUUUGAGUGUCAUGUAGACUCAACCCCCCUGGUUUAUGAUCGGGAAGGGUUGGAUGUGGGCGCUGCCGAUUGCCGGCUCGCCUUAAAUGUCUUAGCGGCUUGGAAGCCCCGACCUAGCGUAAUAAGUUUCGCUGGAGAGGGUGCGGACGACUGCUCACAAUUGCCUUUGGGCAACUUUUUGACUCUGGCCUCAAAUCAGGUAGGACUACCCGCUGAACUUAAGCAUAUCAAUAAGCGGAGGAA
Molecule: ribosomal RNA, 551 nt
Filed under: Cryptococcus sp. LH42
Lineage: Eukaryota; Fungi; Basidiomycota; Tremellomycetes; Tremellales; Cryptococcaceae
Also listed under: 1 other name
Description: eukaryotic LSU rRNA
Rfam family: 5.8S ribosomal RNA (bases 167-320)
Source: RNAcentral